CUGAGUAGCUGGGAUUACAGGUGCCUGCCACAAUACCCGGCUGAUUUUUGUUUGUUUGUUUGUUUAUUGUAUUUUUGGUAGAGACAGGCUUUCACCAUGUUGACCAGGCUGGUCUCGAAAUCCUGACUCAUGUGAUCCACCUGCCUCGGCCUCCCAAAGUGCUGGGAUUACAGUUUUUUCAGCUGAAGCCUUGGGGAGCACUGAGGCCAAGGCUGUACCGUACCAAAAAUUUGAAACAUAUGUGAAUGAGCUGAAUGUGGAAGGACUACCGGAAAACACUCCUUUCAGAAUCCCCUCAUUGCAUGGAAUCCCAAGGCUCGAAAACAUCUUUCAACUUGGUGAAAGGUAGAAGUCACGUGUGAGAAGGCGGUGGAGCCAGGCACAUGAUGGAGCCUCGAAGAGUGGAAGGUGGCACCUGGCUCUGUGAGGAGGGUGUGAAGUCCUCCAUGGGAAGAAGAGAUGCCAGCAAAGGAGGUGAGGAUGGGCGGAAGAGGAGGCUGAGCAGCAAGUGAAUAGAAGCGCUCGACCUCAGAAGAGGAGAGUCCCAUGUCUUUAUUGGUAGUAUUCUAAUGUGGUUCAUACUGGAGUUAUUUUCUGUGGCUGAAUGGUUCAACUACUCUGAAAUCCAGUGGGAGGGUGGGGAACAACUCCUACUAAACCUUUGAGAUGCUGAGUUUUCUUUUAAAAUAAAGGAAAUAUUACAAGAUUUUCUGAAACUGUCAACCUUUAGCAAUAUUUUCAGAUGUUCUCCAACAUUUUCCUUUGUCAGCAAUCAGAGAUGACCUUUGUCAGCAAUCAGAGAUGACCUCCACACUGAGGCGAAUCUUCCACUCCCCUUACCCUUUUCCUUUUGUCUCUCUUUCCCUCCUCUCUUCAUCCAGUAACUCCAGUUAGCCUCCAUUGUCUCCAAGACGGCUUUCGUCCUCAUCCGCAACGCCUCCACACAAGCUCUGAACACCUGUCCGUUGCUAACUUGAGACUGCCAUGCUGUUAGGAAGUUCAAGUUCACCACAUGGAGAUGAAAUAAGAUAUCGUGAUAAACAUCCCCAGCUGAUCCCAGCCUCCAGUGAUCUGUCAACUACAUAUAUGAUCCUAAGUCACAUGUGUGACCCCAAGCAAGAUCAGCAGAACAAUCACUCAGCCAACCCACAGAACCCUGAAAAAAUAUAAAUCAUUAUAGUUUAAACCACAAGUUUUGGGUAGCUUGUUAUGCUGCUAUUGAUAAUUAAAACAAAAUGGAAUAUUUUCAUCUAGAUGGCAAUCUACUCAAUUGCUGAAUCCUUUGUGUUUCCCUCUUUGCCCUGGUUGGUAAGAAUCUCAGAGCUAAGUUGCGUGUUCAUUGCUGUGUCUUUCUUCAACCAGGAAUUCUCAUCACAAUUGGUCCAUUUCUCUUUCAGAUUUUUGUCUUUUAUAUUAAUUGGUUUGGGUCUUACUAUACCUCUGUUUUUCUUUUAAACUGACUAAAAUUAUUUGGAAAGUAGCCAGGGUACCUGCAAAAUAAUAAAUGAAGGUUUGCAGUGGAUGUGUAAAAGAAUAAUGACUGCUAAAAGGAAAAUAAUAGUAAUUAUUAAUAUGUGACUACAACAAAAUAUUAAUAUAUUUUUAAGCCAGGCUCUAUUCUAAAAUAUUUUCAUGCAUCCUAUUAUUUAAUUCAUGCAGCAAUUAUGAACAAGUACUGCUAUCCCCCAUUUUACAGGUAAAGAAACUGAGGUACAAAGUUGUUGUGGCUUGCCCCAAAGUCUCAUAGCUAGUAAGUGGCAGUGCCAGGGUACAAUUCAGGUCUGCCCAAUGUCAGAGCCCACAUUCAUGACCAUUAUGGAACAUUUCUUCACAAGGCUUUUCUGUUGUGUUUAGCUUAUUUUGCUGUUGUACCAAAAUUUACAAGACUCAUGAUUUGGCUCUCUGUUUGUCUGUUAUUGGUGUAUAAGAAUGCUUCUGAUUUUUGUACAUUGAUUUUGUAUCCUGAGAAUUUGCUGAAGUUGCUUAUCAGCUUAAGGAGAUUUUGGGCUGAGACAAUGGAGUUUUCUAGAUACACAAUCAUGUAAUGUGCAAAUAGGGACAAUUUGACUUCCUCUUUUCCUAAUUGAAUACCCUUUAUUUCCUUCUCCUGCCUAAUUGCCCUGGCCAGAGCUUCCAACACUAUGUUGAAUAGGAGUGUUGAAAAAAAAAAAAAAGACAAGGAAUUAUCUCCUGUUAACUUUUAAGUAUAAAACUUGUCAUCGGGUUAUUUAGUCUUGUAAAGAAAAGAUUCAAAAGUCAGAAAUGGAGCAGCUGUUCCUGAAUCAGGCAAACAGCAUUCAAAGAAAAUUAAUUUUCUCCACUUUCAUAAAAGAAAUUCAAGCCCUAGUUUCUGAUGCCACAAUCAUUGCAGUUAACAAAGCUAUUUUAAUACCCUCAUUUUGUCCUUUGAUAGAUAGAUAUUCUUUCAAAUGUGUAUUCUCAGAGAAACUAGUCCUUUUGCAAGACUGUCUAAAAUGCUCCAAAAGCAGGAUGCUGGCCAGGUUGACCUCAUGAGACUCACUCUGCCUGAAAGAUUCCACUCUCCAAUCAGUGAGACUGGCUUCCCAUUCCCCAAAGUUAAUUUGCACUUGAAUAGUCCAGAAAAGUGAGGAGUUUCUCUGUCCUGAUUUGUUCCUAAUAACUAGGUUCUCACAGGGCUAGGGCCCCUGCCAAUCAGCACCCCCCAUUCUGCCCCACACAAGUGCAGAUACGAAUCUGGCCCUACCUCUCUGGCUUUGUGUAGGCUGCAAGUGAGAGCUUUCACUGCAUGAGGACAAAGCUUUCUGUUUCCUCUCAAACUGUCAAUGACAAACAUACUGACAAAAAUAUUUUGGUACAGUUCUUUUAAAUGUUCACUCUUAAUGUAGUGUGGUAAGCUAAUGUUUGCUAAAAUAAACAAAGUGCUAAGAAAAUUC
Molecule: long non-coding RNA, 2915 nt
Organism: Gorilla gorilla gorilla (western lowland gorilla)
Lineage: Eukaryota; Metazoa; Chordata; Mammalia; Primates; Hominidae
Exons: 4
Source: RefSeq, a predicted model, not a curated record